CCACAUCUGCUAUGUAUUUUCUUAGCUCGACUCUCUAACCGUACUAUUACCAAUGCUAACGAAUUGGUAGUUUUCAUUUUGGCCCUUCUUUCAUCAUCGCGAUUUUUGUUUACGGCCAGGAAGUUUUACAACGUAGCCCCUGUAUUAGCGUGGCACUCCGUUUCCCUCCUCUCCGCCUGAGCCGCCGCCACCUUCUCCCCAACCAUGGAGUCCAUGAGUUGGGCAAGCGAGAGCAUCCGGCGAAGCGAGAGGACGGCGCCGCGGCGAUCGAGGAGCGGAAACCUCGAGGUGAGAUUCUACAAAGGUCUAGUUAGAAGGAAGGAUUGCGUAGAGUAGCCGCUUCAUGUCAGAUUUGGGAUGUGGCGCGGCAUGAGUUUUUUUUGUCUGCAACGAUUUAUGACAUUUUCUCAAUUCAGUAUUGCUGUUUCACUAGUUGCAGAUUGUGAUCCCCUCACAGCAAAUUGCAGAGAUAGUUGUUGGAAUAUAGCCACAAAUUAAUACAAGAACGUUUACAUUCAUGUGUAAUAUUGUCAAGAUUUAUGUACUGGCAGGUUUCAGUUUACUUCAGUUCCUUCUGAUUUUCUA
This is a long non-coding RNA of Oryza sativa Japonica Group (Japanese rice), 585 nucleotides long. RefSeq lists it as uncharacterized. Lineage: Eukaryota; Viridiplantae; Streptophyta; Magnoliopsida; Poales; Poaceae. The record is from RefSeq and is a predicted model, not a curated record.